UUAACGACAAUGCAGCAUGCACUUAACUCUUCCCUACUCUGCUUUUGGACAGCCCUGUGAGCUGAGCUGCGCUUUCUUCAUCACCCGGCCAAGAACCAGUCCAUGUGUCUCCAGCCAGGAAGGCUUCCCAGAUAUCAUUACAAGAAGAAGAAGAGGAGGCUCACAGAGGUCUGGAGAAGCUGCACUGCCAGUCUGAAGAUGGAGGAUGGAGUCAGAGCUAAAGAAUGGAGGAAGCAUAACUCCAUGACAGGAUUUUAUCUGUCCUUUUUCCUCCUACAUCCUGGAUGUCUAGGGCACUGUCUAGCACAGAGUGUACCUCUGACUCAAUCCUU
Molecule: long non-coding RNA, 332 nt
Organism: Heterocephalus glaber (naked mole-rat)
Lineage: Eukaryota; Metazoa; Chordata; Mammalia; Rodentia; Bathyergidae
Source: Ensembl